This 429-nucleotide ribosomal RNA is filed under the name Actinomycetes bacterium. RNAcentral describes it as "Actinobacteria bacterium partial 16S ribosomal RNA". It matches the Rfam family "Bacterial small subunit ribosomal RNA", at positions 355 to 776 of the family's 1533-position model. The record is from RNAcentral. Lineage: Bacteria; Bacillati; Actinomycetota; Actinomycetes.
UAGGGAAUCUUCCGCAAUGGGCGAAAGCUUGACGGAGCAACGCCGCGUGAGUGAUGAAGGUCUUCGGAUCGUAAAACUCUGUUAUUAGGGAAGAACAAAUGUGUAAGUAACUAUGCACGUCUUGACGGUACCUAAUCAGAAAGCCACGGCUAACUACGUGCCAGCAGCCGCGGUAAUACGUAGGUGGCAAGCGUUAUCCGGAAUUAUUGGGCGUAAAGCGCGCGUAGGCGGUUUUUUAAGUCUGAUGUGAAAGCCCACGGCUCAACCGUGGAGGGUCAUUGGAAACUGGAAAACUUGAGUGCAGAAGAGGAAAGUGGAAUUCCAUGUGUAGCGGUGACAUGCGCAGAGAUAUGGAGGAACACCAGUGGCGAAGGCGACUUUCUGGUCUGUAACUGACGCUGAUGUGCGAAAGCGUGGGGAUCAAACAGG